Molecule: non-coding RNA, 234 nt
Organism: Pelobates cultripes (western spadefoot toad)
Lineage: Eukaryota; Metazoa; Chordata; Amphibia; Anura; Pelobatidae
Source: the annotation of a GenBank genome assembly
GCUAAUAGGUACAUGGACGUUUAAUGCCUAUGGGUCCUAAGAAAUGGUCCAUAAAUGUUUAACGCCUAUGGGUCCUGAAAAAUGGUCCAUAUAUGUUUAACGCCUAUGGGUCCUGAGAAAUAGUCCAUAUAUGUGUAACGCCUAUAGGUCCUAAGAAAUGGUCCAUAUAUGUGUAACGCCUAUGGGUCCUAAGAAAUGGUCCAUAUAUGUGUAACGCCUAUGGGUCCUAAGAAA